UACGUAGGGUCCGAGCGUUGUCCGGAAUUACUGGGCGUAAAGAGCUCGUAGGUGGUUUGUCGCGUUGUUCGUGAAAACUCACAGCUUAACUGUGGGCGUGCGGGCGAUACGGGCAGACUUGAGUACUGCAGAGGAGACUGGAAUUCCUGGUGUAGCGGUGGAAUGCGCAGAUAUCAGGGGGAAUACCGGUGGCGAAGGCGGCAGUCCUGGACCAUAACUGACGCUGAGGCGCGAAAGCUAGGGGAGCAAACGGG
Molecule: ribosomal RNA, 254 nt
Filed under: uncultured bacterium
Lineage: Bacteria
Description: partial 16S ribosomal RNA
Rfam family: Bacterial small subunit ribosomal RNA
Source: RNAcentral